AUGAGCAUGGAAUGUUUUUCCAUUUCUUUGUGUCUUUUUCAGUUUCUUUUACUAGUGUUCUAUAGUUUUCAGAGUAUAGAUCUUUUACCUCUUUGGUUAGCUUUAUCCCUAGGUAUCUUAUGGGUUUUGGCCCAAUUAUAAAUGGGAUCAAUUCCUUGAUAUCUCUUUCGUCUUCUUUACUAUUAGUCUAUAGAAAUGCAACAGACCUCUGUGCGUUGAUUUUAUAUCCUGCAUCUUUGCUGAAUUGUAACAGUUCUAGCAAUUUUUUUGUUGGAGUCUUUUGGUUUUUCUACACAGAGUAUCAUGUCUUCUGGGAAGAGUGAAAGUUUAACUUCUUCCUUGCUGAUCUGGAUGCCUUUUAUUUCUUUUUGUUUUCUGAUUGCUGAGGCUAGGACUUCUGGUACUAUGUUGAACAACAGUGGUGAGAAUGGACAUCCCUGUCAUGUUCCUGAUGUUGGGGAAGUGUUCUCAGUUUUUCCCCAUUGAGGAUGAUAUUAGCUGUGGGUCUUUUGCAUAUGGCCUUUAUGAUGUUGAGGUAGGUUCCUUAUAUCCAUACUUUCUUGAGGGUUUUUAUCAGGAAAGGAUGCUGUAUUUUGUUGGAUGCUUUUUCUGCACCUGUUGAGAAGAUCAUAUGAUUCUUGUCCUUUUAAUAGUGUGGUGUAUCACAUUGAUUGAUUUGCAGAUGUUGAACCACCCCUGCAAACCAGGAAUAAAUCCCAUUUGGUUGUGAAUAAUCCUUUCAAUGUACUGUUGGAUCCUACUAGCUAGUAUCUCGCUGAGAAUUUUUGCAUCCAUGUUCAUCAGGGAUACUGAUAUGUAAUUCUUCUUUUUAGUGGGGUCUUUGUCUGGUUUUGGGAUCAGGGUAAUGCUGGCCUCAUAGAAUGACUUUAGAAGUUUUCCUUCUAUUUCUAUUUUAAGAAACAGUUUUGCAAGAAUAAAUAUUAAGUCUUCUUUAAAUGUUUGGUUGAAUAUCCUUGGGAAGCCAUCUGGCCCUAGACUCCUGUUUCUUGGGAGAUUUUUGAUGAGUGAUUCAAUUUCUUUGCUGAUUAUGGAUCUGUUCGGAUUUUAUAUUUCUCCUCGUUUCAGUUUAAAUAUACAUGUUUCUAGGAAUUUGUCCAUAUCUUCCAGGUUGCCUAAUUUAUUGGCAUAAAAUUUCUUAUGGUUUUUUCUUAUAUUUGUUUGUAUUUCUGUGGUGUUAGUUGUGAUUGCUCCUCUUCCUUUCAUGAUUUUAUUUAUUUGGGUCCUUUCUCUUUUCUUUUUGAUAAGUCUAGCUAGGGGUUUAUCAGUCUUGUUAAUUCUUUCAAAGAACCAGCUCCUAGUUUUGUUGAUCUGUUCUAUUGUUUUGUUUUGUUUUUUUAUUUCUGUAUCAUUGAUUUCUGCUCUUAUCUUUAUUUUUUCCCUUCUGCUACGUUUAGGUGUUUUUUGUUUUUUGUUUUUGUUUUUGUUUUGUUUUGUUUUUUUUCCCUUGGCUGUUCUUUUUCUAGCUCCUUUAGGUGUAAGGUUAGAUUGUGUAUUUGAGACUUUCUUGCUUCUUGAGAAAGGUCUGUGUUGAUAUAUACUUCCCUCUUAGGGACUGCUUUUACCACAUCCCAAAAGUCUUGGACUGUUGUAUUUUCAUUUUCAUUUGCUUCCAUGUAUUUUUAAAAUCCUUUAAUUUCCUGGUUGACCCACUCAUUCUUUGGUAGGAGGUUCAUUAACCUCAUGUAUUAUGGUCCUUCCAAAUUUUUUCUUGUGGUUAACUUCAGUUCAGUUUUAUAGCAUUGUGGUCUAAAAAUAUGCAUGGUAUGAUCUUAGUCUUUCUGUACUGGUUGAGGCCUGAUUUGUGACCCAGUAUGUAAUCUAUUCUGGAUAAUAUUGGAGAUGUGCACUUGAAAAGAAUGUAUAUUCUGCUGCUUUAGGAUGAAUGCUCUAAAUAUGUCUGUUAAAUCCAUCUGAUCCAGUGAGCCAUUUAAAGCCCAUGUUUCCUUGUUGAGCUUCUGCUUAAAUGAUCUGUCCAUUGCUGUGAGUAGGGCAUUAAAGUUCCCUACUAUUACUGUAUUUUCAUCAGUGAGUUUAAGUUUGCUUUUAAUUGACUCAUAUAUUUGGCUGUUCUCAAGGGCAUAAGUAUUUACAAUUGUUAGAUAUUUUUUGGAUAGACACUUGAUUAUGAUAUAAUGCCUUUCUUCAUCUCUUAUUAUAGUCUUUGGUUUAAAAUAUAGUUUGUCUAGGGGAGCCUGGGUGGCUCAGUGGGUUAAAGCCUCUGUCUUUAGCUCAGGUCAUGAUCCCAAGGUGCUAGGAUUGAGCCCCGCAUCCGGCUCUCUGCUCAGCAGGGAGCCUGCUUCCUCCCCCCUCUCUCUGCCUGCCUCUCUGCCUACUUGUGAUCUCUGUCAAAUAAUAAAUAAAAUCUUAAAAAAAAUUUAAAAUCCAGUUUGUCUGAUAUAAGGUUGGCUACUCCAGCUUUCUUUUGAUGUCAAUUAGCACGAUAAGUUGUUCUACACUCCCUCACUUUCAGUCUGGAGGUGUCUUUUGGUCUAAAAUGAGUCUCAUUAGAUGGGUCUUUUUUUUUUUUUUUAAUCCAUUGUGAUACCCUAUAUCUUUUGAUUGGAGCAUUUAGUCCAUUUACAUUCAGAGUAACUAUUGAAGGAUAUGAAUUUAGUGCUAUUGUAUUAUCUGUAAAAGUCCCUGUUCCUAUAGAUUGUCUCCGUGCCUUUCUAGUCUUUGUUGCAUUAGGCCUCUUUUUCCUACUCAAAGGGUCCCAUUUAGUAUUUCUUACAGAGCUGGUUUAGUGUUCAUGAAUUCCUUUAGUUUUUGCUUGUCUUAGAAACUCUUUAUCUCUCUGUCUAGUCUGAAUGAUAGCCUUAUUGGAUAGAGUAUUCUUGGCUGCAUGUUUUUCCCAUUUAGCACAUUGAAUGUAUCAUGCCAGUCAUUUCUGGCAUGCCAGGUCUCUCUGGACAGGUCUGCUGCCAGUCUGUGUGUCUACCUUUGUAGCUUAAGGACUUUCUUUCCCUAGAUGCUUUCAGAAUUCUCUCUUUACAUUUGUAUUUUGCAGGUUUCACCAGGAUAUGUCUUGGAGUUGACCUGUUUUUGUUUAUUUUGAUGGGAGUUCUCUGUGUCUCUUGGACUUGAAUGCUUAUUUCCUUCCCCAGAUUAGGGAUGUUAUCAGCCAUAAUUUGUUCAAAUAAACCUGCCCUUUUUGCUACUCUUCUUCUUCUGGGACUCCUGUGAUAGAUAUAUUUUGCUUUAUGAAAUUGCUGAAUUCCCUAAGUCUGUAUUUGUGAUCUAAUAGUUUUCUUUUCCCUCUUCUUUUCAGCUUCAUUAUUUCCCAUAAUUUUAUCUUGUAUAUCACCUAUUCGAUCCUCUGCUUCAUCCAUCUUCAUUGAGAUUAUAUCCAGUGAGUUUUGCUUCUCAGUUAUACCAUUUUAAAAAUUUCAACCUGACUAGUUGUUAGGUCUUUUAUGCCUAUAGGCAUAAAAGGGUUUCUCUGUCUUCUUUGCUUUUUUCAAGUCCAGCUAGUAGUCUUUUGACUGUUGAUCUAAAUUCUUAUUCAGAUAUAUUGCUUAUAUCUGUUUUCAGGAAGUCCUUGCCUGUGAUACCUUCAUGACCUUUCUUUUGGGGAGAAUUCCUCCAUCUUGUCAUUUUGGCUAAGUUUCUUUCUUUUGUGUUAUCAUUAAAACUUGUUAUACUUCCUGCACCUCAGAGUAAUGUUAUGUUGAAAAAGGGUCAUACACUGUCCAGGGCCUGGCACUUCAGGAAGUGUUUCUGGUGUAUACUGUGUGCACUCUGCUGUUGUGUUUUGGCUGCUCUUUCCUAUGGGUCCAUCCUCUGCAGAGUUCCUCCUUACUUGCAGUGGGGAGUGCCUGGACCUUCAUCUAGGUGUGGUUUGAUUUGCUGGUUGAAAAAGGCCUGGAAAAAAGGAAAGGAAAAGAAAAAAGAGAGAGGGAGAGGGAGAGAGAGAGAGAGAGAGAAAGGAAAGAAAAGCCUUUAAAACAAAAAGAGGAAAGGAAAGGGAAUGAAAAAACAAACAAGCAAACAAACCAGACAUUGAAAAAAUAAACACAAAAACACUGUAAGCCUGAUUCCAAAGAAAAGGAAAGAAAAAAAAUAAAAAUAAUAAAAGAAGUCUAUUUCCAAAAAGAGAAAGAGAUAGAAGGAAAUGAGAAAGCAAACUAACAAACACACAAAAAACUAUAAGCCUGAUUCCAAAGGAAGAAGAAAAAAGAAAAAAAAAAAAUCCAGCCUCAUCCCAUUUCCCCCAGAACUGAAGGGGAUGCUGUACGGCACUGUAUGACCAGUAGACAUGGGGCGUGGGCUGCUGCCUGCAUUGUUUUUCUUGGGGGGAAGCUCCUUAUGCUGGCUCAGAGUCAAUCCUGCCCCAGUAAAAACAGCACUUGUCAAGCCAGGGCAGGGGAGUGGGGAAAGCUCAGGGUUUGAGCGGCUCUUACCUCCACUGGGGUCUGCUGAGUUGUUCUCUGAUGUCCCACCAUGUUGGUAGAGCAGUAAAUUGGCACCACCUCACUCUUUUCUCCCUGGACAGGGGAUCUCAUACCCCCUACCUAUCCCCAUGAAGUUCGGGAAACCGUCACAGAAAAGAAAGGGCCCACUCUCCUGCAUUUAUCUCCAGUGGCUGGGAUUCAAAACUCCAAAUCUUAAAGGAGCCCACACUGCUCAGAUUCUGCUCCCUCAACUGGGUUAGAGGCUUGUUGACUCUAACACCCUUUGUUCCAGAAAAGACAGUCCCCCAUCCUGCGUGAUGCAUGGAUUCUAUGCUGAGGCACCACCAAAAGCAGCUACCAUGUUUUUCAGCCUCUGCACGUGCCUUUGUUUGCUGCCGCUGAAAGGCCAUUUUCUGGGACCUCCAGGGUCUUUGGUCCUUGGAGAGGCAAUAUACCCUCUUCCAAAUGUACUCCAGGAAGGAGAGCUGCUUUCCCAGUGCGACCCCAGAGGUCCCUACACCACUUCAUGUGGGCAACCUGGCCAGAGCCCACCUUCCAAGUAAGGGACUUGAAUGAAUUGUUAUUUUCACUUAUGUCCCAAGGAGACUCAUGAAAAUUCCACUCUGGAAAGCAAGGGAUGGCAAUAUUAAACAAAGUGGAACGUAAGGAAAAGGCAUUACAUAAAACUAAAAGGGUUGUUGAGAACACAUAUUGAGGACAUACUCUGCAGUCAAUUUGAGAGAAUUUCUAAGCCUCUUGAUGGUCAUUGAUAAAUCCCAAGUAUCUAUAGUGGACUCCAGGAUAAGAAAUUCUCAUUUGAGGGCUCCUGGUUUAUUUAUCUAUCUGGCCACAGUUCUUUGCUCUUUCCCUAUAUACAUGCAACUUGCAAUGUGACUUUGCAGGUCCUCUUAUUAUUAAGUGACCUCUUGAACUUGGGCUGACUUUGUGACUUCUUUAGGGAGUAGAAUGUGCCAGAAGUGACAGUUUGCUGUUUCCAGUCUAGGCCUUCUGUGCUUCCUCUUUCUUUCUUAGACCUCUGCUUCUGCCAUCGUGACACGGCCAGGCUAAGCUGGGGGAGGAUGAGAGACCACGGGGUAGAGUUCUGGGUUCCCAGCUUACAGCCAGCCAACCACUAGACAUGCAAGAGAGCCCAGCCUACAUCAGCACAGCUCUCUUCCUAACCAAAAACCUGUAAUCAAGCAUGAAUGAAUCCAGCUGAGACCAUAAAAACCACCACAGCUGACGUAUCAAUUCAUGAAGAGUAAUAAGUUCUUACAGUAUAAGCCACUGAGGUUUGAGGUGGUUACAUAAUAAUAGCUGUGAGAACUAUUUCAAACUUUGUACUCCAAAGAGAAUACUUAUCUGUAUCAGAUGGCUUUGAUUUAGAAAUCAAUUUGUAAAAUUGAUUCCAGGCCUGUUACAAAGAAGACCUCAGUAGAUUCUCCCAAAUAAGAAUUAUGUAGACUACUUUUAAAAAUCCUAAUGCCUUAAAACUAGAAAUUUUGUUCUUUUUAAGAAAAUUUAAACAUAAUCUACUUGAUAAUGGAACACUCCUAACUCUUUGUUCUUUGACAAGAGAAGAAGAAAAUUCCUGAAGUGAGUCCUAUUAAGAAAUGCAAAUGAUAAAAUAGGUAUGAGAAAGAGGCAUAAAGCAUGCAGAGAAGAUGAAGAAUCCUGUGUAGGAAUGUUCUGGAUGGUCCAGCCACAAACAGACUCCCUCUACUACAACAGGACUGUUCUAGUGGAAAGACGGCCCAUGAUGCUAGGACUCAAUACCAGGAUCCGUUGUAGCUACCCUAAAAGGGUCAGAUGUCAGUGCACUGUGCUUUCUAAAAUACAUAGUCUCACAGUCUUUGACCACCUCCUCACAUUGUUCUCUUUCUUUUCUGAAUUUCUCAUGGGUAUAGAUGAUGGACAGGAAUGUCAUGACUUGAACCCUAGCUAUAAGGGUGUCUAGAAAAGUACUUUUUAAUUUUCUGUGCUCUUAAAGCAUGUCCCCGUCCUCCAGCUAGAGACUACUGUAAACACAGUCAUAACUGCACAUGGUGGAUUUUCCUAACUUGUUGCAGCAACGGAGAACACACAUCCUAUGGAACCAUGAGGACCCCUCCACAUGAGGGAGUUAGAACCUAUUACAGGAUUUGGCCUUUGGUUGGGUGAUUUAUGGAGGGUCCAAGGAACCAAAGAUUCACUCUAGGUAGGAUGCCAUCAGAAAGUUAUGUGUGGGGGGAUUUUAUGAUCAAAUAUCUUAAUAAAUAAAUUUUACAUACAGGCAAACUAUAAA
Molecule: long non-coding RNA, 6696 nt
Organism: Mustela lutreola (European mink)
Lineage: Eukaryota; Metazoa; Chordata; Mammalia; Carnivora; Mustelidae
Exons: 2
Source: RefSeq, a predicted model, not a curated record